Molecule: ribosomal RNA, 405 nt
Filed under: uncultured bacterium
Lineage: Bacteria
Description: bacterial SSU rRNA
Rfam family: Bacterial small subunit ribosomal RNA
Source: RNAcentral
UGGGGAAUCUUGCGCAAUGGGCGAAAGCCUGACGCAGCAACGCCGUGUGAACGAAGAAGGCCUUCGGGUCGUAAAGUUCUGUCAGGGGGGACGAAAUCUGACGGUACCCCCAGAGGAAGCCCCGGCUAACUACGUGCCAGCAGCCGCGGUAAUACGUAGGGGGCGAGCGUUGUCCGGAAUUACUGGGCGUAAAGGGCGUGUAGGCGGUUUAUCAAGUCAGGUGUGAAAUUCCAGGGCUCAACCCUGGGCGUGCACUUGAAACUGGUAGGCUUGAGUGCAGGAGAGGAAAGUGGAAUUCCCAGUGUAGCGGUGAAAUGCGUAGAUAUUGGGAGGAACACCAGUGGCGAAGGCGACUUUCUGGCCUGUAACUGACGCUGAGGCGCGAAAGCUAGGGGAGCAAACAGG